AACCAAAUACAAAAAUGAGAGACAAAGGAGGAGAGGAAAAGAAAGCAACGAACCAAAAAAAGCAGCCCUCUUAUUCAAAAAUGGGGUCCAUUCAAAUAUUGUCUGAUCCUCCCUCUCUCAAAUCUUAAGAUGUGACCUCCAUCAUCUUCUUCCCCCACUUCAUUACCCUCAUUCACCAAAUUUUGUCUCCUCACUUCUUUCCUUUUUUUUUCAAUUAAAAUAGUACUAAAAAUAAAAUAAAAUUUAAAGAAUCCCUAUAUUUUUUUCUUUAAAAGGUUCAUAAUAUAUGUUCAUGGACUCCAUGGAGACCAUCACAAAAUUCACAUCCGAACCCUCGCCAAUAGUGUCAAUGAUGUGUUCCGAAAACCAAUCCAGGGUGGCUGGUGCUCCACCAGCCGCCCCAGUGCUCAGUCGAUACGAGUCCCAGAAACGCAGGGACUGGAACACUUUUGGGCAGUACCUUAAUAACAUGAGACCACCCGUGGCGGUAACUCAGUGCACGUGCCAUCACGUGCUUGAGUUUCUUAGGUACCUUGAUCAGUUUGGAAAAACUAAGGUUCACUUACAUGGGUGUACUUUUUAUGGGCAGCCUGACCCUCCUGCUCCUUGUAGCUGCCCGCUCCGGCAGGCUUGGGGUAGCCUUGAUGCCUUGAUCGGACGGCUACGAGCUGCUUACGAGGAGCACGGUGGGUCACCCGAGUCAAAUCCGUUUGGAAACGGGACUAUUCGGGUUUACCUAAGGGAGGUUAAGGAUUGUCAAGCUAAAGCUAGGGGAAUUCCUUACAAGAAGAAAAAGAAGAAGAGGAAGGUUUUAAAGACAAGUGAUGGAUCUUCUUCAAAUCGUCGGUUUUAAGAUACUUACCUAGCCUGCUGCAUUAUCUCUCUAGAGAAUGGAAACAUAUGAUCAAAAAGCACAUCAAGUUGGACAAAUGAAAUCUUGUUCUAGAAUAUGUGGUAAGCUAAAAUAAUAGAAGAUCGAGCGAAUGAUAAAUGGUUUGGAUAUAUGAACAACCCCUAAUCUCCUCGACAGUACAAUGUAUAACACAAGUAUAUUGUAAUACUAGUAAUAGUCUACUUUGCAAGCUUUUUGAGGGUACAAAACUUGAGUUGGUGCCUGAAUAUAUUACAAUAUAUUACUUGUAUGUAAAGUCAUUCCAUUGUGAGAAUGACAAUGUUACUUGAUAUAUGAGACCUUCUUUUCCAUUCUCUCUCU
Chenopodium quinoa (quinoa) is the source of this 1213-nucleotide long non-coding RNA. RefSeq lists it as uncharacterized. The record is from RefSeq and is a predicted model, not a curated record. The transcript is spliced from 2 exons. NCBI's taxonomy places the organism in Eukaryota, Viridiplantae, Streptophyta, Magnoliopsida, Caryophyllales, Amaranthaceae.